AUACAUGAGCAAAAUCUCAACUUUAUUAGAAGAGACGCAUUUAUUAGAUAAAAAGCCAAUGCAUGCUUUUACAGUAUGGAAAUUGGUGAUUUAUAAUAACUUGGCAAAUCGCAAAGUGAAAACAGGCGAUAAAUCAUUCAAGUUUCUGACCUAUCAGCUUUCGACGGUAUGGUAUUGGCUUACCGUGGCAGUGACGGUUAACGGGGGAUUAGGGUUCGAUUCCGGAGAGGGAGCCUGAGAAACGGCUACCACAUCUAAGGAAGGCAGCAGGCGCGCAAAUUACCCAAUUCUAACAGUUUGAGAGAGGUAGUAACAAGAAAUAACAAUACAAGGCAAUUAAAAUGCUUUGUAAUUGGAAUGAUAGAAAUUUAAACCCUUUUUAAAGUAUCAAUUGGAGGGCAAGUCUGGUGCCAGCAGCCGCGGUAAUUCCAGCUCCAAUAGCGUAUAUUAAAAUUGUUGCAGUUAAAAAGCUCGUAGUUGAAGUUCUGCUAAAAGUAACCGGUCUGCUUUUAAUAAAAGUGGUAUCUUGGUGUGUAUUUAGCAAUGAUGUCCUUUGAAGUGUUUUUUACUUUAUUGUAAUAAAGCAUAUUCAGGACUUUUACUUUGAGAAAAUUAGAGUGUUUCUAGCAGGCCGACGCUUUGAAUACUGCAGCAUGGAAUAAUAAG
RNAcentral lists this ribosomal RNA (666 nucleotides) under Hepatozoon canis. Its description in RNAcentral is "bacterial SSU rRNA". It matches the Rfam family "Eukaryotic small subunit ribosomal RNA", at positions 167 to 821 of the family's 1831-position model. The record is from RNAcentral. Lineage: Eukaryota; Apicomplexa; Hepatozoidae.